Molecule: long non-coding RNA, 1281 nt
Filed under: Panthera leo (lion)
Lineage: Eukaryota; Metazoa; Chordata; Mammalia; Carnivora; Felidae
Description: lncRNA (ENSPLOG00000006394.1)
Source: RNAcentral
AUGGGGCCGCCUGCUCAGCGUCUGACUGCCGCCCGCCUGGAAACCCCUUUCCCCCGCUUAUCACCCGCCCUACAAAAGUCCACCCGCGACAGGUGGGGAGAGGGCGGCAAUGGCCAACAACAAAUCUGCCGCUUUCGCUUCUGGCCAGCAACCCGCCCCAAUCUACAAGCGCGCCCCUCCCGGCACUGCCGGCCUAUCCGCCCCCGCUGUACCCGCAGACGCGCAGCGGGCGCGGGCUGCGGGCUCUCGGGCGACCUCACCCCCAGGAUUGCAGUGGGGGCGAGGAGGGCCGGCGAGAUAAGACCUUCAGGGCUCGCCCGUGGGCGCUAUCUGGCCGGGGCAGUCGCACCAGGCGCGCGGCCGUGGCGCGCCGCCAGAGGCGCAGCAGGCCAGGGAAAGAGCUACUUCUCAAUGGGGCCCCGAGGCCGUCUGCCCCGCGGUGCGGGCACGCCGGCGGAGGAACCAGCGUGCGCGCCAACGCGCCUGGACUUCCGCACCGCCGCACCGCGGGAGAGGCGCUCCGGAUCGCCGAGUCCCCGCACCUCCCCGGCGAGCGCACGCCGCGCGCACACGGGGGCGCACGCCCCCGCACACUCACACGCGCUGCACACUCACGGCGUCUCCAGCCCCACCCCUGUGCCAAGCAGCCGCGGGCUCCCCGCACCCCGUAGGGGCCCCACCCAGUUCACCAGACCCCAGCCUCCAGCUCGGGCGCUCAGGGACCAGCCCGCCGAGGCUCGGGGCCCCUGGGGUCGCCUCGUCGUCCACCCCGAGGCCGACCCGCCUGCCUGGGGUUCCCCGGCACCGCGCGGGCACCGCGGGCACCGCGCGCCCGGCCCCGACACGAGGCAGGGAGGAAGGGGCGGUGCCGCGACUGGGCUGGCACCGGAGCUCGGUGACUGGAGCACCCCCCAACCCACCCACCCAUCACCACCACCUUUUCUGCAGCACAAAAGGUUGCAGGCGGAACCGCCGUCCCCGUGCAACCUACCGGUGGCCCAGGGCUCUGCCACCUCCGCCGCGCCUGGGCCGCAGAGCCGGAGAGAAGGGCGGGAGAGGCGCAGGGCUGCGGCGCCGAGAGCCGGGCAGAGGCCGCCAGCCGAGCCAGCCGGGUACCCUCUCCUCUCCCACCGCGCUCGGAGCCAGCUACCGCCCGGCGUAGUCCCCGCCUCCUCCUCCGCCGCCGCCGCCGCCGCCGCCGCCCGCCUUCCCGCCCUCCUCCCUCCGGCUGCGGAGGCGCAGCCCGUCUGCGCUGGGCCCGCCUCCUGCGCCCUGCUCUGA